AUACAGAGGGUGCGAGCGUUGUUCGGAAUCACUGGGCGUAAAGGGCGCGCAGGCGGUUUGGUAAGUCAGAUGUGAAAGCCCACGGCUCAACCGUGGAAGUGCAUUUGAAACUGUCAGACUUGAGUACUAGAGGGGAAAGUGGAAUUCCCGGUGUAGAGGUGAAAUUCGUAGAUAUCGGGAGGAAUACCGGUGGCGAAGGCGACUUUCUGGCUAGAUACUGACGCUGAGGCGCGAAAGCGUGGGGAGCAAACAGGAUUAGAUACCCCAGUAGUCC
RNAcentral lists this ribosomal RNA (274 nucleotides) under uncultured bacterium. RNAcentral's name for it is "partial 16S ribosomal RNA". It matches the Rfam family "Bacterial small subunit ribosomal RNA", at positions 523 to 796 of the family's 1533-position model. The record is from RNAcentral.